RNAcentral lists this ribosomal RNA (465 nucleotides) under Vreelandella stevensii. Its description in RNAcentral is "partial 16S ribosomal RNA". It matches the Rfam family "Bacterial small subunit ribosomal RNA", at positions 338 to 795 of the family's 1533-position model. Lineage: Bacteria; Pseudomonadati; Pseudomonadota; Gammaproteobacteria; Oceanospirillales; Halomonadaceae. The record is from RNAcentral.
CCUACGGGGGGCUGCAGUGGGGAAUAUUGGACAAUGGGCGAAAGCCUGAUCCAGCCAUGCCGCGUGUGUGAAGAAGGCCUUCGGGUUGUAAAGCACUUUCAGUGGGGAAGAAAGCCUUGGGGCUAAUACCCUCGAGGAAGGACAUCACCCACAGAAGAAGCACCGGCUAACUCCGUGCCAGCAGCCGCGGUAAUACGGAGGGUGCGAGCGUUAAUCGGAAUUACGGGGCGUAAAGCGCGCGUAGGCGGUCUGAUAAGCCGGUUGUGAAAGCCCCGGGCUCAACCUGGGAACGGCAUCCGGAACUGUCAGGGUAGAGUGCAGGAGAGGAAGGUAGAAUUCCCGGUGUAGCGGUGAAAUGCGUAGAGAUCGGGAGGAAUACCAGUGGCGAAGGCGGCCUUCUGGACUGACACUGACGCUGAGGUGCGAAAGCGUGGGUAGCAAACAGGAUUAGAUACCCUGGUAGUC